This 387-nucleotide long non-coding RNA is filed under the name Parus major (Great Tit). Its description in RNAcentral is "lncRNA (ENSPMJG00000011396.1)". The record is from RNAcentral. Lineage: Eukaryota; Metazoa; Chordata; Aves; Passeriformes; Paridae.
CCUUUGCACUUAAUAAAAGGAUGUCAUCUGUCUUUUCUGUGCUACUUUUCAGGCUGAGGCAAGGUGAAUAUACCUGGACAGUAGAAAAGGUCUUCUAACACAGGAGCCACUAGAAACAGUGGGGAGCAGGAUGCAGACACUGAGCUGAAUGACUCGAGCUCAGAUUUGCCUGAAUGAGCAUUUGAGGUUCCAAUUAAAUCCUUGUUUCGGCCAUUGCAUUGCCUGCCAGUAGUUAAUCUUUCUCGAAAGCCUCAUCACUUAUCUAAAACAAAAGAAGAACGAGGUAAGGAGAAAAAGUAAUGAAGUGCAGCAUAGCACAUCUGUCAAAGGAAUGGAAAACCGCUUUAAAAAAAUAAAGUAUCAAUUACAUUAAAAAAUUAUUUUUUG